Molecule: transfer RNA, 73 nt
Filed under: Mus musculus (house mouse)
Lineage: Eukaryota; Metazoa; Chordata; Mammalia; Rodentia; Muridae
Also listed under: 1 other name
Rfam family: tRNA
About the family: Transfer RNA (tRNA) molecules are approximately 80 nucleotides in length. Their secondary structure includes four short double-helical elements and three loops (D, anti-codon, and T loops).
Source: Rfam by way of RNAcentral
AUGGUUAUGGCUCAAUGGUUAAGAGCACUGACUGUUCUUUCAGAGGUCCUGAGUUCAAAUCCCAGCAACCACA